CUUUAGUCCCGAUCGUAGUGGCAUCCUUUGUGUAUGCGGUAGCCUACACAAAGAUAUAGCGGAGAGCGGGAACCAUU
Molecule: small RNA, 77 nt
Filed under: Flavobacterium succinicans
Lineage: Bacteria; Pseudomonadati; Bacteroidota; Flavobacteriia; Flavobacteriales; Flavobacteriaceae
Description: Flavo-1 RNA
Rfam family: Flavo-1 RNA
Source: RNAcentral